Long non-coding RNA from Poecile atricapillus (Black-capped chickadee), 168 nucleotides. RefSeq lists it as uncharacterized. The record is from RefSeq and is a predicted model, not a curated record. The transcript is spliced from 4 exons. Lineage: Eukaryota; Metazoa; Chordata; Aves; Passeriformes; Paridae.
CAGGUGUCCCCAGGGGUGUCCUCAGGUGUGUCCCCAGGUGUCCCCAGGUGUCCCCAGGGGUGUUUUUGGUGUCCCCAGGUGUGUCCCCAGGGGUGUCCCCAGGUGUCCCCAGGUGUGUCUCAGGUGUCCCCAGCUGUCCCCAGGUGUGUCCCCAGGUGUCCCCAGGUG